AUUGAACGCUGGCGGCAGGCCUAACACAUGCAAGUCGAGCGGAUGAAGGGAGCUUGCUCCUGGAUUCAGCGGCGGACGGGUGAGUAAUGCCUAGGAAUCUGCCUGGUAGUGGGGGAUAACGUCCGGAAACGGGCGCUAAUACCGCAUACGUCCUGAGGGAGAAAGUGGGGGAUCUUCGGACCUCACGCUAUCAGAUGAGCCUAGGUCGGAUUAGCUAGUUGGUGGGGUAAAGGCCUACCAAGGCGACGAUCCGUAACUGGUCUGAGAGGAUGAUCAGUCACACUGGAACUGAGACACGGUCCAGACUCCUACGGGAGGCAGCAGUGGGGAAUAUUGGACAAUGGGCGAAAGCCUGAUCCAGCCAUGCCGCGUGUGUGAAGAAGGUCUUCGGAUUGUAAAGCACUUUAAGUUGGGAGGAAGGGCAGUAAGUUAAUACCUUGCUGUUUUGACGUUACCAACGAAUAAGCACCG
This 471-nucleotide ribosomal RNA is filed under the name Pseudomonas aeruginosa. RNAcentral's name for it is "bacterial SSU rRNA". It matches the Rfam family "Bacterial small subunit ribosomal RNA", at positions 30 to 495 of the family's 1533-position model. The record is from RNAcentral. Lineage: Bacteria; Pseudomonadati; Pseudomonadota; Gammaproteobacteria; Pseudomonadales; Pseudomonadaceae.